CCUACGGGAGGCUGCAGUGGGGAAUAUUGGACAAUGGGGGGAACCCUGAUCCAGCCAUGCCGCGUGUGUGAAGAAGGCCCUCGGGUUGUAAAGCACUUUCAGUGAGGAAGAACGCCUGGUGGUUAAUACCCAUCAGGAAAGACAUCACUCACAGAAGAAGCACCGGCUAACUCCGUGCCAGCAGCCGCGGUAAUACGGAGGGUGCGAGCGUUAAUCGGAAUUACUGGGCGUAAAGCGCGCGUAGGUGGCUUGAUAAGCCGGUUGUGAAAGCCCCGGGCUCAACCUGGGAACGGCAUCCGGAACUGUCAAGCUAGAGUGCAGGAGAGGAAGGUAGAACUCCCGGUGUAGCGGUGAAAUGCGUAGAGAUCGGGAGGAAUACCAGUGGCGAAGGCGGUCUUCUGGACUGACACUGACACUGAGGUGCGAAAGCGUGGGUAGCAAACAGGAUUAGAUACCCCUGUAGUC
RNAcentral lists this ribosomal RNA (465 nucleotides) under Vreelandella stevensii. RNAcentral's name for it is "partial 16S ribosomal RNA". It matches the Rfam family "Bacterial small subunit ribosomal RNA", at positions 338 to 795 of the family's 1533-position model. The record is from RNAcentral. Lineage: Bacteria; Pseudomonadati; Pseudomonadota; Gammaproteobacteria; Oceanospirillales; Halomonadaceae.